Molecule: ribosomal RNA, 501 nt
Filed under: uncultured Sphingobacteriales bacterium
Lineage: Bacteria; Pseudomonadati; Bacteroidota; Sphingobacteriia; Sphingobacteriales
Description: bacterial SSU rRNA
Rfam family: Bacterial small subunit ribosomal RNA
Source: RNAcentral
UUGCCAGCCCGCUCAAGAAACUCAAAGGAAGUUGACGGGGGCCCGCACAAGCGGUGGAGCAUGUGGUUAAUUUCGAUGAUACGCGAGGAACCUUACCUGGGCUCAAAUGUAUGUUGACGUAUUCUGAAAGGGAUACUUCUUCGGACAAUAUACAAGGUGCUGCAUGGUUGUCGUCAGCUCGUGCCGUGAGGUGUCGGGUUAAGUCCCAUAACGAGCGCAACCCCUAUCAUUAGUUGCCAUCAGGUCAAGCUGGGGACUCUAAUGAAACUGCCUACGCAAGUAGUGAGGAAGGUGGGGAUGACGUCAAGUCAUCAUGGCCCUUACGGCCUGGGCUACACACGUGCUACAAUGGUCGGUACAAAGGGUUGCCAAGCCGCGAGGUGGAGCUAAUCCCAUAAAACCGAUCGUAGUCCGGAUCGCAGUCUGCAACUCGACUGCGUGAAGUCGGAAUCGCUAGUAAUCGUGAAUCAGAAUGUCACGGUGAAUACGUUCCCGGGCCUU